This 451-nucleotide long non-coding RNA is filed under the name Gorilla gorilla gorilla (western lowland gorilla). Its description in RNAcentral is "lncRNA (ENSGGOG00000044623.1)". Lineage: Eukaryota; Metazoa; Chordata; Mammalia; Primates; Hominidae. The record is from RNAcentral.
CCUCACCCCGAAGCGGGAAGCAGCUUUCUCUUCCCAGCUUCCAUCCAGUCUCUGAGUAGACCAGUCGCAGCUUAGAUGCUGGGAUCGCCUCAGAACACAUUUCUUUGCCCUUCACGGCCACUACCGGUAUUGGGGUAUUCGAGUCUUAGGGCCGUUCGUUGCUCACAGGUCGAGCUGGUCUGGACUCUGUUCGACCACGAAUCAUGACUCCUUCCUGCCAGUUAUGUCCCCUCCGCACCCUUGCCCAGCCAUUUUACCAGGCCUCUCCACAUUGCGCUGCCCCACGGACCUUAUCAAGCUUGAAGAUCUUUAAAAAGAAAAGUAAUGCAAGAGAACAAAAAAGAUUGUCAGUGAAAGAUAUAUAAUUGCAUUAAGAUGUGGCCCUAAUCUUUCCACAGUCAAGUGUGUACUACUAUUUCACAGCAUUUUCCUUUCCAAACUGUGUGCCAAA